CUUGUUCUUUAAAUGGGGACUCGUAUCAACGGCACUACGAGGGCUAUACUGUCUCCUUUUUCUAAUCAGUGAAACUGAUCUCCCCGUGAAGAAGCGGGGAUUAAAAUAUAAGACGAGAAGACCCCAUGGAGCUUUAAACUCACCAUGCACCUCUGUGCCCCCAUAUCAUUAAACACAACGGACCUGCAUGCUAGUUUUAGGUUGGGGUGACCACGGAGUACAACUUAACCUCCACAGCAAAUGGGCUAAUACCCUUAUCCACGAGACACAACUCUAAGAAUUAUUAUACUAAUGCUUAUUGACCCGAUAUUCGAUCAAUGAACCAAGUUACCCUGGGGAUAACAGCGCAAUCUACUUCAAGAGCCCAUAUCGACAAGUAG
This 380-nucleotide ribosomal RNA is filed under the name Rana dybowskii. RNAcentral's name for it is "partial large subunit ribosomal RNA". It matches the Rfam family "Bacterial large subunit ribosomal RNA", at positions 1968 to 2515 of the family's 2925-position model. The record is from RNAcentral. Lineage: Eukaryota; Metazoa; Chordata; Amphibia; Anura; Ranidae.